CCAGCCCGCUCAGAACUCAAAGGAAUUGACGGGGCCGCACAAGCGGUGGAGCAUGUGGUUAAUUCGAUGAUACGCGAGGAACCUUACCUGGGCUCAAAUGUAUGUUGACGUAUUCUGAAAGGGAUACUUCUUCGGACAAUAUACAAGGUGCUGCAUGGUUGUCGUCAGCUCGUGCCGUGAGGUGUCGGGUUAAGUCCCAUAACGAGCGCAACCCCUAUCAUUAGUUGCCAUCAGGUCAAGCUGGGGACUCUAAUGAAACUGCCUACGCAAGUAGUGAGGAAGGUGGGGAUGACGUCAAGUCAUCAUGGCCCUUACGGCCUGGGCUACACACGUGCUACAAUGGUCGGUACAAAGGGUUGCCAAGCCGCGAGGUGGAGCUAAUCCCAUAAAACCGAUCGUAGUCCGGAUCGCAGUCUGCAACUCGACUGCGUGAAGUCGGAAUCGCUAGUAAUCGUGAAUCAGAAUGUCACGGUGAAUACGUUCCCGGGCCUU
RNAcentral lists this ribosomal RNA (492 nucleotides) under uncultured Sphingobacteriales bacterium. RNAcentral describes it as "bacterial SSU rRNA". It matches the Rfam family "Bacterial small subunit ribosomal RNA", at positions 883 to 1382 of the family's 1533-position model. Lineage: Bacteria; Pseudomonadati; Bacteroidota; Sphingobacteriia; Sphingobacteriales. The record is from RNAcentral.